UGACGAUGAACUUUACAAUUGGAAACGGAAAACAACGUGCCUCCAAGGGGCGCAAGCACACGAGUUACAGAAAAGGAAGUGUUUAAGUCUAAAAGCUAAAGGAAUGAAAAUUACAUAUUCUCUGUUCGAGAGUUUUGGAUUCGGUCCUUUGCUCCUAAGUUCUUUCUCCCUUUUAUACUUCAUAGGCGAUCCCUUUGUGAUUAACUGCUCUAAAAAACUGCUUGAUCGCCCUAUAACUACUCACUUUCUUUGUAGUGGCCAUUUUGUCAUGAAACUGUCUUUUUAAAUGCUGUCAUUAUCUUGCAUCGUUCAACCGCUUUCGAUUGAACCCCUUGAGUCGUGGAACGUGAUAAGGUUACUUUAGCAACUGCCUCAAUAACUGCAUUUUUUUAUAAUCAUAAUGCGUUAUGUUUGUUGAUACCUUGGGCGACUUGAAGAUUUGGGCGAGACUCUGGGCGAUCGUAUGCCACUCUAUUCGUUCAGAUUUUGAGCGACUUGCAAACUUGGGCGAUGGCGUUACCGCACUAUUGGGCCCCUUAUUCGGGCGUUCACCUUGAUUCGUUCAAUUGGAUUUCGUUCUUUGGGUUAUUUGAUUUGGGGAUUCUCCAAUUGGGCUUUACUCUUUGAACUGUUCGAUUUGGACUGAAUUUUUAUGUGUCAACACCACCCAAGGAAAACAAGUGAGUUAGUAGGAGAUGUAAAUUUCAGUUGAAACAUUAUCUGUGGCCUCUGACACCCAAAAAAAGUCCUUAAGAUUACGCGCGAUUAGGUCGAAGUUCCGGACCAAGCGGGGCCGGUACGGAAUUUUUAGCUUCGUAUUUAAAAGGAGCCGUGCUGUGCGCCGUAAUUUUUAGCUUCGUAUUUUAAAAGGAGCCGUGCAUAGCUCACAGCCCCUCAAAUGGGCGGCCUGCGUCAUUUAAAAGUUUGGUGGACAACAUAAUUGAGAAAACGCGUUGGAU
This 959-nucleotide long non-coding RNA is filed under the name Olea europaea subsp. europaea. The record is from RNAcentral. Lineage: Eukaryota; Viridiplantae; Streptophyta; Magnoliopsida; Lamiales; Oleaceae.